CUACGGGGCGCAGCAGUGGGGAAUAUUGCACAAUGGAGGAAACUCUGAUGCAGCAACGCCGCGUGGAGGAUGACACUUUUCGGAGCGUAAACUCCUUUUAUAUAGGAAGAAGAUGACGGUACUAUAUGAAUAAGCGCCGGCUAACUCCGUGCCAGCAGCCGCGCUAAUACGGAGGGCGCAAGCGUUACUCGGAAUCACUGGGCGUAAAGAGAGUGUAGGCGGAUUAAAAAGUCAGAAGUGAAAUACUAUAGCUUAACUAUAGAACUGCUUCUGAAACUCUUAAUCUAGAAUAUGGGAGAGGUAGAUGGAAUUUCUGGUGUAGGGGUAAAAUCCGUAGAGAUCAGAAGGAAUACCGAUUGCGAAGGCGAUCUACUAGAACAUUAUUGACGCUGAGACGCGAAAGCGUGGGGAGCAAACAGGAUUAGAUACCCGGGUAGUC
This 439-nucleotide ribosomal RNA is filed under the name uncultured bacterium. Its description in RNAcentral is "partial 16S ribosomal RNA". It matches the Rfam family "Bacterial small subunit ribosomal RNA", at positions 339 to 795 of the family's 1533-position model. The record is from RNAcentral.